RNAcentral lists this ribosomal RNA (437 nucleotides) under uncultured bacterium. RNAcentral's name for it is "partial 16S ribosomal RNA". It matches the Rfam family "Bacterial small subunit ribosomal RNA", at positions 29 to 507 of the family's 1533-position model. The record is from RNAcentral.
AGCGAACGCUGGCGGCAGGCUUAACACAUGCAAGUCGAGCGGGCAUCCUUGUGGUGUCAGCGGCAGACGGGUGAGUAACGCGUGGGACCGUGCCCUUCGGUUCGGAAUAACUCAGGGAAACUUGAGCUAAUACCGGAUACGUGCGAGAGCAGAAAGGUUUAUCUGCCGAAGGAUCGGCCCGCGUCUGAUUAGCUAGUUGGUGAGGUUAUGGCUCACCAAGGCGACGAUCAGUAGCUGGUCUGAGAGGAUGAUCAGCCACACUGGGACUGAGACACGGCCCAGACUCCUACGGGAGGCAGCAGUGGGGAAUAUUGGACAAUGGGGGCAACCCUGAUCCAGCCAUGCCGCGUGAGUGAUGACGGCCUUAGGGUUGUAAAGCUCUUUUCUUCGGGACGAUAAUGACGGUACCGGAGGAAUAAGCCCCGGCUAACUUCGUG